CCGCACGAUGCCUCCCGGGCCUCUCUGAAAUCCCCAUGACGUGAACGCCCCGAUGCACGUGCCAAAUCGCCGCCGUUCGUGUUGCAGUUUAGCCCCAAUUUUCCCACGGUUGAUCUGUGUCAAAGUAACGGCGAAAUUC
Glycine soja is the source of this 139-nucleotide non-coding RNA. NCBI's taxonomy places the organism in Eukaryota, Viridiplantae, Streptophyta, Magnoliopsida, Fabales, Fabaceae. The record is from Rfam.